Molecule: unclassified non-coding RNA, 520 nt
Filed under: uncultured Entrophospora
Lineage: Eukaryota; Fungi; Glomeromycota; Glomeromycetes; Entrophosporales; Entrophosporaceae
Description: SSU rRNA
Rfam family: Eukaryotic small subunit ribosomal RNA
Source: RNAcentral
AGCAGCCGCGGUAAUUCCAGCUCCAAUAGCGUAUAUUAAAGUUGUUGCAGUUAAAAGCUCGUAGUUGAAUUUCGGGAUUGACACAUCGGUCGUGCCUUAAGGGGUAUGAACUGGUGUAGUCAAUUUCUCACCUUCUGGAGAACCGCGAUGCCCUUAAUUGGGUGCCGCGGGGAACCAGGACCUUUACUUUGAAAAAAUUAGAGUGUUUAAAGCAGGCAUUUUGCUUGAAUACAUUAGCAUGGAAUAAUAAAAUAGGACGGCAUGAUUCUAUUUUGUUGGUUUCUAGGAUCACCGUAAUGAUUAAUAGGGAUAGUUGGGGGCAUUAGUAUUCAAUUGUCAGAGGUGAAAUUCUUGGAUUUAUUGAAGACUAACUACUGCGAAAGCAUUUGCCAAGGAUGUUUUCAUUAAUCAAGAACGAAAGUUAGGGGAUCGAAGACGAUCAGAUACCGUCGUAGUCUUAACCAUAAACUAUGCCGACUAGGAAUCAGACGAUGUUAAUUUUUUAAUGACUCGUUUGGCA